AGCCCUUUAUUAUAUCGGGUACAUGUGAAGCAAGGAACUACAUUUUGGUGAGGAUUUAGAGUUUGGGGAUGCAGGAAGGGUAGUUCUGCUGCUGUUGAGAGGAUAAAGUUCCUUGCAUGUGUCCCCUCCUCUCUGAUUGUGAAGCUUCCAGUGAACCAUGUGCAUGGAGAGCACUGGACAAUAGCAGAACAGUACCGGCUGUCCCCUAUUUUCACCAGAGAGAAGAUCAACCUCCUACCCUCGCCCUGAAUCCCAAGGAAGGUGAUGCAUUCAUAACAAGGGCAUCCCAGUCCUGGGGAAGGGCAGGAAGGACCCACCCUCAUUAGUCCCUGAUGACUCCCACCCUUGUCCUCGGUCUCCAGGUACUUUGGAAAUGAAAAGAUAGGUGGGGAAACUAGAAUAGAAGUCCAAGAAAGUCUGUAGUGAUCUCAUUUUUACACAGAGAGGGAGGAGGUCAUUUAAGCCACAGAAGAAUCAAAUCACUGCUUAUCUCAUCUUGGCACUUCCCACUAGAGAUCAUUCAAUGUUGAAUAGACAGGUUUCGUUUUUCUUGGGUUUUCAAGAGAUGAUAGCUUUUUACUCUGGAAAAAAAGUUGUCCAUGAGUCUGUGAUCCUGUGUCUUCCAUUCCUGCCCAGAAAUGUCCAAGGAAAUAAACUGUACCCUGCUGUUAUGGGCUGUCCCCCCAAAUUCAUCUGUUGAAUUCCUAACCCCAGGUAUCUCAGAAUGUGACUGUAUUUAAAGACAGGGUCUUUAAAGAGGUAGUUAAGUUAAAAUAAAGUCAUUAAAGUGGCUCCUAAUCCAACACGACUGGUUCCUCAUAAGAAAAGAAAAUUUGGACACAGACAUACAUGAGACAGGACUAUGUGAAGACCCAGGGAGAAGGUGGCUAUCUACAGAGCCAAGGACAGAGGUCUCAGAAGCCAACACUGCCCACACCUUGAUCUCAGGCUUCCAGCCUCCAGAACUGGGAAAAAAUAAAUUUCUGUUGUUUAAGCCACUCAGUCUGUGGCAGUUUAUUAUGGCAGCCCGUGACUUGAGUGAAAGAUUCUUUUAACCAAACUCUAAAGUUUAACUCUUUUGCCUUUCCUUAUCAGAGAUGAACAGGGCAAAGAUUUCAAAUGGAGUCGUGAAACGAAGGACACCCUUCAUAUCCAAUUGUAUUGAAAAGGAGAGGAAGGAAGGGCAACAAAUUAUUAGCAAACACUUGUGACUUAAUGUUUAGAAAGUGUUUUCAAGAUAAUUUUGUCUUAAUAGGCUAACUGCAGAAAAUAUUUAUAGAUAUUCCCUGAGUGGGCAAGCCUGUGGGACACCUUUGGCAGUAUUUAGACACCUCUGCAGCUUCACAGCAAUGCUUCAUUUUCUUCUGACAGUUGCCUCAUCCACUUUUCUUUAGGAAAUGUUUGCCAAGGGAAAAAAAUUCUUCCUCCUGAAACUAAAUGAUUUAGUGUUUGGGAAGCCAGCCAAUUAAAUGUGGCUCCAAGAAUAUAUUUAACCUUGAAAAUGUUUUCAUUUCAAACAGAAAUGCAGCCCUAGGGCAAGAGGGUAACUUAAUGCCCCUGGGAAUGCUGUGCUGGUCUAUAUACCUUGCUCAUUCAUUCAUUCAAUGAAUAUUUAUUGAGUUCUUGCCAUAUAUUAUACCAGGCACUGUGUCAGGUGAGCAGUAUUCAAUGCCAGCUGACAUGAAGUCUACUGGGAAAAGAUAGACCACUGAAUGGACAAUUAGAAUCUGCUGCGAUAGGUGCUGCGCUAGAGGCAGACACAGGGG
This 1766-nucleotide long non-coding RNA is filed under the name Macaca mulatta (Rhesus monkey). RNAcentral describes it as "lncRNA (ENSMMUG00000062414.1)". Lineage: Eukaryota; Metazoa; Chordata; Mammalia; Primates; Cercopithecidae. The record is from RNAcentral.